Cygnus atratus (black swan) is the source of this 937-nucleotide long non-coding RNA. RefSeq lists it as uncharacterized. The transcript is spliced from 3 exons. The record is from RefSeq and is a predicted model, not a curated record. NCBI's taxonomy places the organism in Eukaryota, Metazoa, Chordata, Aves, Anseriformes, Anatidae.
AGAAUUUGUCUGCAUGAUCAGAAUAAAAACUGUUCCACCUUUUUCUUAUCUGCAGGGUUACACCUGAAGACUAACCAAUAUUUUAUUCAUCCACCUACAUAAGUUGAUUUAUGCUCCUGAAGUUUGGGUUGCAGCUUACAAAUGUCUCUCUUUUCCUGGCCUGACGUACGGCAUGCUUUCAGUAUGAGCACUUGCAAUUAUUGGAUCUUUCUGCCAGCAUCAUGAGGAGGCAGGCCAGAAAAACAACUUAACUCAGAAAGUAGACAUGCCAGAGAGAGCACCCAAAUGCCAGCCGGCACCUGUGAGCUCAGCACAACUGCAGGUGGGCUGAUGGGAACGGACCCAGGCCCAGAUGGAUAUAAGCUGCCUGAGGGGGGUCUCUUUCUGCUAUUUGUUGCUCUGGAGCAAAGGUUUCAUUAAGAUGGUGAAGUGCUGUUCCCACUGCUGCCCUUGUGUGUUGGAGGACAGAUGCAAAGUGAAAUAUCUCUUACAAACCUUGGAGAACUCAUAUGAAUGUGUAUUUAUGUUUGCAUGCAUGAAAGGAGCACCCUCAAACUAUAAAGUAAUCUUGCUUUCGGCAUUUCUCAGUCCUUGAGUCCUCAGCUUGGUAAACUAAAUAAUGUCCUAUUAGCGUGGACUUGCAUUUGAGCAUGUAAUAAAGUGCCACCAAAUGCUGAUACGACUGGUUCUUACAUGUUUCUCAGAUUAGAUUUAUCAAUUAAACAAAUACAGUUUUUCUUCUCCAAAUGGAAAGAGACUUAAGAUUCAGAUGCAUUUCAUAUGCUGGAGUUAUGAACCCCUGCUAUUCCUACUCCAUACUCUGCUGCCACUACUGCUCCUGUCCCUGGUAAUGGCAGAGAUCUCUGUAGAAAUAGUGUAAAGAGUAUGUAGAAAUAAUGAAUUACAAGCUCAUGAGUACUUGUUUCUGAUGUGCAGC